AGCUUUUAAAAUCCAUGCAGAGAUUUUAUCAGACACCAAUCCAAUCGGGCUGAUCAGACUCUCAAGGUAGAUGAAAUU
RNAcentral lists this microRNA precursor (78 nucleotides) under Schistosoma margrebowiei. RNAcentral describes it as "mir-3492 microRNA precursor family". It matches the Rfam family "mir-3492 microRNA precursor family". The record is from Rfam by way of RNAcentral. Lineage: Eukaryota; Metazoa; Platyhelminthes; Trematoda; Strigeidida; Schistosomatidae.